GCUUAACGCGAAGAACCUUACCCACCUUUGACAUCCCGUGCUACCUAGAGAGAUCUAGGGUCCCUUCGGGGCGCGGAGACAGGUGCUGCAUGGCUGUCGUCAGCUCGUGUCGUGAGAUGUUGGGUUAAGUCCCGCAACGAGCGCAACCCUCGCUUCUAGUUGCCAGCAUUUAGUUGGGCACUCUAGAGGAACUGCCUGCGCCAAGCAGGAGGAAGGCGGGGAUGACGUCAAGUCCUCAUGGCCCUUACAGGUGGGGCUACACACGUGCUACAAUGGCGGUGACAAAGGGAUAAUCCCUAAAAGCCGUCUCAGUUCGGAUUGUCCUCUGCAACUCGAGGGCAUGAAGUUGGAAUCGCUAGUAAUCGCGGAUCAGCACGCCGC
Molecule: ribosomal RNA, 381 nt
Filed under: uncultured bacterium
Lineage: Bacteria
Description: bacterial SSU rRNA
Rfam family: Bacterial small subunit ribosomal RNA
Source: RNAcentral